AGCGAACGCUGGCGGCAGGCCUAACACAUGCAAGUCGAACGGACCCUUCGGGGUUAGUGGCGGACGGGUGAGUAACACGUGGGAACGUGCCUUUAGGUUCGGAAUAGCUCCUGGAAACGGGUGGUAAUGCCGAAUGUGCCCUUCGGGGGAAAGAUUUAUCGCCUUUAGAGCGGCCCGCGUCUGAUUAGCUAGUUGGUGAGGUAACGGCUCACCAAGGCGACGAUCAGUAGCUGGUCUGAGAGGAUGACCAGCCACACUGGGACUGAGACACGGCCCAGACUCCUACGGGAGGCAGCAGUGGGGAAUCUUGCGCAAUGGGCGAAAGCCUGACGCAGCCAUGCCGCGUGAAUGAUGAAGGUCUUAGGAUUGUAAAAUUCUUUCACCGGGGACGAUAAUGACGGUACCCGGAGAAGAAGCACCGGCUAACUACGUGCCAGCAGCCGCCGUAG
RNAcentral lists this ribosomal RNA (449 nucleotides) under uncultured bacterium. RNAcentral's name for it is "partial 16S ribosomal RNA". It matches the Rfam family "Bacterial small subunit ribosomal RNA", at positions 29 to 523 of the family's 1533-position model. The record is from RNAcentral.